Molecule: non-coding RNA, 104 nt
Filed under: Halobacillus sp.
Lineage: Bacteria; Bacillati; Bacillota; Bacilli; Caryophanales; Bacillaceae
Also listed under: 1 other name
Description: Guanine sequence
Rfam family: Purine riboswitch aptamer
About the family: Riboswitches are metabolite binding domains within certain messenger RNAs that serve as precision sensors for their corresponding targets.
Source: RNAcentral
UAAUCAAUUCCAUAAGGUACUCGUAUAUUCUCAGUGAUAUGGUCUGAGCGUCUCUACCCGGUUCCCAUCGAAAGAACCGGACUACGAGUUGAGAAUGUCACGGG